UUAUGUAAACAGCUUCUGCAGGAAAUAAAUCCCUGCACCACCCAUCUUACUCCUUAUUGUGAGAUGAGUGAGAAGUUUGACUUUUAAGUGACUUUCAACAAAGUGAUGACCAAGAAUUAGUAUUUCAGAUUCCCCCUUGUCUGUUUACAUUCCCCCAAAGCCUUGCUGUGUCUACAGAGAAGUUAUGUGUUGCUUAUUCCAAAUAGAAGAGCAGACAGAAAGGAAACGCUGAUUCUGAUUUGAUGAGGCUAUGGUUUGUGCGUUCCGGUGCCAUGCGGCGCGCCUGUGACCCUGAUUUAUCCGUUCAUUUUCCACCGGAUUAGUUUGGCGCCCAAUUAGGAUUUAAAUGAUCCUUCAGUGAUAAACGUGACCAAACAGAUGCGUUCUUACCGCUAUGCGAGUCUGUGAAGAUGCUUUAAGGUGUAAGACGAUCCUUUGUUUGGGGACGGAGGGAAGGUCGUUUUGGACUUGCCGAGGUUCCGCCGUUGAUCCUUUUCCUUGUGUGUGUGUGUUUUUUAUUUUUCCCUCUCGGGGAGGAAACAGCGGGACGUUUCUCUGACGGCUUGUCAAUGUUCACCUCGCAGCAUCACUACGAAGACGUGUGCAGGCACUCUUUUGUCCAUGUGUUCGCUCCUCAGUCGAGCUGAACGUCGAUCGAGCUAUGUGGUCUGCUGCGUAAAACCGGUGCCAAGAUUCCUGCGGGCCCGCUCCGUUGCGAAGAUGCGAGACAAUAGUCUGGUCAUUUUGGCAGGGAUCGAACCUCCUUUCAGCUGAGUCGGCCGAUUUAGAAGCGAAUCUCGGGCGCUCGUCCCUUCACAUCGCUCUGGCUGCCUGGCUCGGGAAUUCAGCGAUAAAUAUGUCAGUGGCUCACAUGCCUGUUGGCUCCGGCGCUGCCUUUCGGGUCCCUCAUCUUUGCUCUUCCUCGCAGGAGGAGUGGUGAACAGUUGCCGAUCUGUUGAUCACCUGAAGAUCCGCCCGCAAGCAGCGUGUUUAUCCGGGCCGCAGCCGGAACCUUUAUUGGCUGAUCGGGUGGAGCUCGAUGAUUUGCAUGUGACCAAGCCUUCCUGAGCUGCCUACUGCUGGAGAUUCCAGAGGAAAAGAUUGGUUCCUGAUGCUAGCAGGAUGAGACAAGUGUGACUGAGUCACUGACACACGGCAGAGCCACUGCGGUCCAUAGUAGCAGAGAGACAGGCCAGAACACAUGAACACUAGAAAUGCAAAUACACUGCAGGGAAAGGUGACAGAUGAGGUGCUUAGGAGAAAGCUGCAAAGGAACAGGAGGAAAUUGCCCCAAGCAGGCCCUGUACCACAGUCUGCUCCGGUCUAUAUUUAGCACAAGGGCCACAGAUUGUAACAAGUGCUCCGGGGCCCCGUGUUCAGACGGGCAAGAGCUGCUGCCGUACGUAUCUGCAACCCGCGGCCAGGCACGAUCCCGGCUCAGGAAGAGCUGGAACAAACACGCUAACUCAAAACAUGUGUAAAGUUCAAAACGCUCUAAUGGAGCAGCUUUGUGGCGGGAUGCAAUACCCCAACCAGAGCCGAGCCGCAGCUUCACUCCUGCUCGUCUAGUUUGGGCUUUCGCCAUCACAAAUUCCUCCCGUUCUCUUUCCCCUCGGCGUUUGGAAAGGGCAGAACAUACCCCUCCCCCAGCCCCUCGUUUGCCGAAAAGCAAAUCACUUGUCUUGCUGGACAGGAUUGACAUUCAGUGCAAAAUGUCAAAAGUCGCUCAAGUCAUAUUUGACUCUUCCUGUUUGUGCUCUAACCUUCGCCAUCUACAACACCUCCAGUACGGCUGCCGGGAUAUUGUCAGCGGUGAGUGAUGAGGGCUUGAGCUGUUCAGACAGCAGAGUCUACUGAAGGUGUGACAAAGACUUAAAUCGCGAUCCGUCC
Poecilia latipinna (sailfin molly) is the source of this 1890-nucleotide long non-coding RNA. RefSeq lists it as uncharacterized. Lineage: Eukaryota; Metazoa; Chordata; Actinopteri; Cyprinodontiformes; Poeciliidae. The record is from RefSeq and is a predicted model, not a curated record. The transcript has 2 exons.